This 2382-nucleotide long non-coding RNA is filed under the name Canis lupus familiaris (dog). RNAcentral describes it as "lncRNA (ENSCAFG00000056747.1, ENSCAFG00845010213.1)". Lineage: Eukaryota; Metazoa; Chordata; Mammalia; Carnivora; Canidae. The record is from RNAcentral.
UAUAACAUGGCCUGAAAUUCAAGGCCCUUUAAAAGAGGGUGUGAUUGGCUGAGUGUAAGUGAUGUACCAGCCCUUAGCUACACUAGGCAAUUUUCACAAGGAAAUUAGUUGAAGGAGCCUCCAGUGAUGCCUGGAUUAACCUUCCCAACAGGAUUGCACAUAAUAAGAGAGAUAAUUACCUAGGAGGAUAUUACGAUACUAGAAGAAAGUGGGGGAUGAAUGUUGGGUCGACAAAAUAGGACAAAUGUUUUCUAUGCCCAAUCCAUCGUUUCUCUUACCACAGCACACAACUCAUCAUUUAUUGGCCAGUCUAUAAAUGGCCAUAAAAUUGUGGCCGGCCUUAAUGCAUUUCAAAGCAAAAUAUAAAUGACUUUCCAAUUAUCCAUUUUGAAUUAUUUAUGCCAUCACUUUCUACUGUUUGCCCAUCCUAGAUCUAAUCGUGGAAAAUGACCACAUUAUAGCCAUUUAUCAGACAACACUUUGGCAUCAUAUUUCUUUAUUUACAAAUAUUUCUUUACCAUUGGUCUUUAAAAUUUACUGCUGUGCCAGGUGCUAUGGGAGAUAGAGAGGCACUGGAUAAGAUGUGAUGAUUGCUUUCUAGGUGCUUAGAAACAAAUAUAGGAAAUAUAAUACAGAAUAAAUAAUAUAAAAUAAUAUAAAACAGUGCAUAAUCAAAGAUUAAAACAUACAUCUAUGUGUGUGAGGAUAGCAUGGUUGGGCAUAACUGGUGCUAAUGUAAGAGGAGCUAGGUGCAAUGUGUAAUUUAAAUCUCAGAAGAAUAUUUUCGAUAGUGGCAACUAGAUGAUCUUUGUCCAGGCUGUGUUAAUCUAAAUUAUAAUUUUUUGCUAUUUGUUUAUUCCAAAAAAUAGGACAGAAAUUGAUUUAGACUAGGUCUCCUUCUGUGUAUAGUACAGAGAUUUUGUCCCAGGGUUAUUCCCUUUGGCCACAGUCCUGUUCUGGAGGAGCUGCUGUUAUGCCAUUUGUAAAUGGCACGGGCCUGGCCCACUUGUCUACUGCUAUGUUUCUACUGCUAAUGUCAUGAAACGCCUCUGGCAGCAUAAAUAACUUUAUUACUAAGCUAUAAAGUAGAGCAAGUUAUUAAUAUUGUAUGAAUUGCAUUCUAUUCAUUUUUUUUUCUUUAAUGGGGGGAGUUCUUACCAUGGUCUGGAAAACAUAUCCUUGAAAUUGCUGAGUAGCAGCAGUAAAUGAUUUUGGAAGCCCCAUCGCUACUGGAAAUUUUGAUUGGGAGCUGGAUUUAAUAAGUUCAGGUUUACUUCUGAGCUACUCAUUUUCCUUAGGAAUUCCAUGAUUAAGGCAGCCUACCUCUCAGUGAUAACUACAAGGAAUUGGAUUUUACUGUGUAGUAUAAACAGAUCUGGAUCGAUGAGAUGACAUUCUGAGCAUUAUCAAGAGGCUUGUGAACUGCUUUGUUGUGAGAGGUAAUUGACACUGAAAGCUUUUGAAAAUUGAGGUUUACAGGAGCAGGCCUAAGUCAAUGAUGUUUUGUUUCAUCUGAGGUAUUUGAAUAAGGCAUUAGUUGGCAGGUACUAAUACCACUUUACGAAGCUCAAGUUUAGGCAAGCCAUUAACCUCCUCUAUAGCAAGCAGAAGUUAAGUUAGAAGGGAUAAAAAUAAAAUUCCCUCCAGAUCAGUGCAGAGGAAGAAAGGGGUCUGUAGAUAACACAGACUGAGCUUCAUUUGAUAGAGGUUUAUUUAUUUCCCUCAGGCCAUUAGUAACCACAUGUUAAAUGUUCUCCUUCUUGAUGUCCAUCCUAUCCUUUAUUGUAAGUUGAUUUAAAAAGAGAACCCUCUGAAAAAACUCAGGAUGCUAGGUUCUAGUCCUGAGUUUUCUAACAGCUGACAUGAUCUUCUGCUUUUUUGUGCUCAGUGACAAAAAACACUCAUAUUAUUGAUUUGCAUAAUACUGAUUUCCCCAUAGGGUUUCAUGGAAGUGUGCAAUUUCUGACUCACUGCCAGGUAAUAGACUGACACACUUCUCAUCUGUUAUCCAAAUGUCACUAUUUUGUUAGUAGCAACAAACUACUGUGAUACACUUCCAGAUGAUUUUGACCUAUCUUGACAUCUGGUUGAGAUUGGCGGUAUUCACAGUUUGGCUGACCGUGAUUGAAUUGUUUAAUUUCUCUGUGAUUUAUUUUUCCUACAAGUAGGCCCCUUCCAGUUCUGAAAUUUUACAAGCAAUCUCAUAUAGCGGUAACCAAGCCAAAUGAGGCCUUUUUGUAUAUUUAUAUCAUGCUAACAUAAGAAAUUGCCCUACUUAUUAACUCAGAGUUCUUCCAAUAUUGAAUUCUAAAUUUGACAAUGGCAUGGGGUUAUGAUUUAAGCACUGCUAUCCUCACUAGCAUUCAACAGGAUUAUGGCUAC